Mesoplodon densirostris (Blainville's beaked whale) is the source of this 107-nucleotide small nuclear RNA. The record is from RefSeq and is a predicted model, not a curated record. NCBI's taxonomy places the organism in Eukaryota, Metazoa, Chordata, Mammalia, Artiodactyla, Ziphiidae.
AUGAUCACUUUGCCAGCACAUACCCUAAAACUGGAACCACAGAGAGAAGAUUAGCAUGGCCCCUGGACAAGGAUGACACACAAAUUCGUGAAGCGUUCCAUAUUUUU